RNAcentral lists this long non-coding RNA (287 nucleotides) under Elaeis guineensis (African oil palm). RNAcentral describes it as "long non-coding RNA (EGUI_LNC080411)". Lineage: Eukaryota; Viridiplantae; Streptophyta; Magnoliopsida; Arecales; Arecaceae. The record is from RNAcentral.
AACGCCUAAACUCAUGACGUGUGGUCAAAUCAGAGUGAGGGAUAUUUCCUCCAUGUAGAUUGGCUUCUGUAGGAUCUAAAUAAUUUGCAAAAAAAAAUGUAAGAAAAGAAAAUAACUAUAAAAAUAUAUAUAUAGGUACAAAUAUAUACAUACAUAUACAUAUAAUAUGUAUAUGUAUAUAUAGAUAUAUAUUGUUCGUUUGUUAGACACCGCUAAUUUAAUACUUAUUUGUCAUGCAAGAAUUAUGAUUUUAAUUCAUUAAUGAUAUAGGCUUGACACUUGAUGAU